Long non-coding RNA from Canis lupus familiaris (dog), 1568 nucleotides. RefSeq lists it as uncharacterized. The transcript is spliced from 3 exons. The record is from RefSeq and is a predicted model, not a curated record. Lineage: Eukaryota; Metazoa; Chordata; Mammalia; Carnivora; Canidae.
CACGGCGUGCGCAUGCGCCAAGCGGGAGCCACGGCGAGAGCGCCUGGGAGAUGUAGUUCCCGGGGCUUGAAGGCCUGCCACCUCCCCCGGUCCUGGAGAAGAUAUGGAUAAACACCCCAAAAUGUGAUCUCUGUCCGGCUGGAGCGUCCAGUCCCCCGAAGAGCUACUGUAGACCUCCUCCAGAACUAUACAUCCCACAAACCCCUGCGGCUCGGGUCACCGCCCAGCUACGGACACCCGGCGGAGCCAAAAACUACCUGGGCGGCCGGAACGCCUGGCCUGGUAGCAAGAGCCAGACCAUUUGAAUCACGUCUUCUUUCGGAGCCAAGUGCUUUGAGUACUAUCCUGGGAGUCUUGCUCCAGGCGGAGAGGACGGUCGAGGGCCAGGAGCACCUGGGGACAAUGACAGCUAGCGCUGGAGCCCGCCAGGCUGCGAGUCGAAUCAUAUUCCCGGCAGCCAAUCCGGAGGACUGAGAGGCCUGGUGGGCCCGCCUUUUGGACGUGACGUCAUUUCCCCCGCAACCGGAAGCUCCAGGCCUUAGCAACCGAUCCUGGCCGAAUCAAACCGAGCUUGGCUGGGUCCGACUGGCCCGAUUAUUGAGACUGGAAGCCUGAAGACUGGGCAACUGGGGUCCCUAGGGGGAGCGAGGGAAUGCGGAGCUGGUGGUGAAGGAGAGCGGUAGCAGUCCUUUCCUUUUGUCUGAGGCCUCAGGCCCACCUGUGCUGUUCUCCUUCCUCCCGGUGUUCGAGCUCCGAGCCAGAGCCGCGCAGCCCGCUCCUUCGCCGGUUCAGCGCAAGGUGCUGCAAGAGAAAUCCUCAAGCUUCUUUCCUCCAACUGCCUAUCUUCCUUUGCGGGGUCACCUGAAGCUUCUCUUCCCUCGAUUUUUGGAAAAGGCAGGACAUCUGGAAUGAGUAACGAAAAGUUUAAUUACACCGUAGUCCCUGGACAAAGUUGGCUGAUUUGUAUUGUGUGCCUUAACUGAGAGGGCCACUCUGAUGACCCUUCAAAGAUCAACUUCUCUCAGUUAAAAGAAACUGUAGUGUGCUACAAAUGUAUUGUUUUGUAAUGUUCUCUUAUUUUGCGUGUCGAUUUCAGUUCUGACAGACUCUACAAGGCAGAGGCCUUGUCUCUAUUUUUUUUGUGUCAUCUCCUUCAUUCAUUCAUUCAACAAGUACUUAUGAGGACCUGCUAUGUUCCAGGCAGCAUGCUAGGAAAUGGGGAUACAUAAAUGAAUGAAACUGACACAGUCUCUGCUUUCAUGGAACUUCUAGUCUGGCCAAGGGAAUACUAAUUACAGUGGCAUGAAGAAGGGUGAGAUGCUAUGAGAGCGGAUGAAGGAUUAGGAGACAUUUUUGCUGCCAAAGAAUGAAUUAGAACUGAAUCUCAAUUCUAUAUAGACCCCAUAUUGAAAACUAUUCAAUUAAGUGGUUGACUUUGUCUCUUCAGGUGAUCCCUUGUCACCACUGUGACUAUAAAAAUACACAUCAGGCUCCCGGCAUGGAACCUGCUUCUCCCUCCUCCCGUGUCUCUCUCUCUCUCUUUCUCUAUGUCUAUCAUGAACAAACAA